Molecule: ribosomal RNA, 492 nt
Filed under: uncultured bacterium
Lineage: Bacteria
Description: bacterial SSU rRNA
Rfam family: Bacterial small subunit ribosomal RNA
Source: RNAcentral
AUUGAACGCUGGCGGCAUGCCUUACACAUGCAAGUCGAACGGCAGCACGGACUUCGGUCUGGUGGCGAGUGGCGAACGGGUGAGUAAUGUAUCGGAACGUACCUUUCAGUGGGGGAUAACGUAGCGAAAGUUACGCUAAUACCGCAUAUUCUGUGAGCAGGAAAGCAGGGGAUCGCAAGACCUUGCGCUGAUUGAGCGGCCGAUAUCAGAUUAGCUAGUUGGUGGGGUAAAGGCCUACCAAGGCGACGAUCUGUAGCGGGUCUGAGAGGAUGAUCCGCCACACUGGAACUGAGACACGGUCCAGACUUCCUACGGGAGGCAGCAGUGGGGAAUUUUGGACAAUGGGGGCAACCCUGAUCCAGCCAUGCCGCGUGAGUGAAGAAGGCCUUCGGGUUGUAAGCUCUUCGGCCGGGAAGAAAUCGCACAGGCUAAUACCCUGUGUGGAUGACGGUACCGGAAGUAAGAAGCACCGGCUAACUACGUGCCAGCACG